GCAUUCCAGCGGCAAAUCAGAAACGCAUACAGAGAUACAGUUGCCGACGUCAAGAUGUCGGAAUCUCCGAAAACAGCAACUCCAUAUGUCGAUCCGAAAGAGAAAAGUUCACUGCCUGCAGAUAUAGAUUUUGGAAAAGACUUUCUUGGAUCAUGGAAGUCGAUGUCCUGAGCAGAUGACGGAAUGGAUUUUGACUUUGGACCAACCACUGAAGGGAAGAAAAAGGCUUUUAAAUUUGACAAAAUGUAAGCGGCAAAAAACCUUAAAGUUGCAUAUUUACUUUGAUAGUAGCUCAGAAAUUAUUACUUUUUGCCAAUCUGGAGAAAUGGCUCAAAUUUUGUAUCUGGAAUGAAGACAUAAGUACUGUUUAUUCAAUAUAAAUCUUAACAUCCUCCGGAAGUUUAGUCACUCCAGAAUAUAUAAUAAUUUCCAAUAA
This is a long non-coding RNA of Cynara cardunculus var. scolymus (artichoke), 436 nucleotides long. RefSeq lists it as uncharacterized. The transcript has 3 exons. The record is from RefSeq and is a predicted model, not a curated record. NCBI's taxonomy places the organism in Eukaryota, Viridiplantae, Streptophyta, Magnoliopsida, Asterales, Asteraceae.